GCUCUUAAUAGUUUCAACUCUAAUAUAAUCAGCCUUAAGAAAAAAAUGGAAUGGAGCUAUAAUUUUAGAUUAGAAUGGAGGACAAACUUUCAAAUUCUAGUACAUAAUCAACUGCUUAUUUUAUUUUAUGUUAAACAAUAUCCAGGCUACCAGAUAACUUUAAUUUUUUUAAAGAUAAUCAUAUGAGGUUUUUAGUGUGUUUGGAUUAACAGAAGUCA
This 218-nucleotide long non-coding RNA is filed under the name Pan troglodytes (chimpanzee). Its description in RNAcentral is "long non-coding RNA NONPTRT015726". The record is from RNAcentral. Lineage: Eukaryota; Metazoa; Chordata; Mammalia; Primates; Hominidae.